Molecule: long non-coding RNA, 1122 nt
Filed under: Bos taurus (domestic cattle)
Lineage: Eukaryota; Metazoa; Chordata; Mammalia; Artiodactyla; Bovidae
Description: long non-coding RNA NONBTAT009415
Source: RNAcentral
AUUCCCUUUUAUUUUGUGGGGGAGGAGGAGAGGGAAAGGGCAAAGAUAAUUAAGGAACAGCUGUUUGCUGUAGUGUCACUUGCUUAUUCAAAUUUUCUGAAUGGCUGAAUUAAUCAGCAUGUUUAUCUCUUCUCUGGCAUUCGGAAUGUUCUAGAUCAAUGGUUUUCCCAGCUUUAUCCUUAUUUCCUUCUCUUAGUGAUGUCCCUGUUUUCAUCUGUCUGGUCACUUCCCUUCUGUGGCUUUUAUUUUAUGUAUUUAUUUUACAGAAUAACAAAAGCACUCAUGUUACUUUAAGUCUUCCUCCCUGCCCCCCACCCCCUUCUUUUUUCAUGGAAAUAGGAGGUGAGUGAGAGCAAGUUGGUAAUUCAAUGGCAGCGGUAACUGAAACACUGACCUACUAAAAGGUGGGCGGAAGCUUCCACUUGAUUUGAUACAGAUCCUGUCAUCCAGGGAGGUUUGAAAGACCUUUAUGUCCCCGGUAGUUUGAGAACUCCAGAUCAGUCUCCUUCAGGAUGAAGUUCAACUUCCAAACAUCAAAGCCUCAAGCGCAAUUAUAAGGAAACUUAGUUUCACAGUGUUGCCCGUCUAGACCAGAAUUUGUUAUAAAGCGUCUGCGGCACAAGUAGCACUUGCUUUUCUUCAGGAAGGUUUAUGAGUUACAUUUUAGUUAGUGACCCAGGUAUCAGGGAGUAUAAGGUUCAGUGAGUCAAGCGAAAACAGAAAUCAUAUAAAAAGUCCAGCCUCUGUUUAAAGAGUGAUCUUAUUGGGAGGAAAAAUUAACCGACCGGUUGGGAGGAGAAGGAUCCGCCUCCACCAGAAAAGGGAAAACUCUGCAUACAUUUAACCGGCAAACAUGUCCUCGUAUCAGAAUCCAAGUAGCAGUCUCUCUGGGCUUAUAAAAACCCCAGGGACAUUUGUCUUGGUGUUGUGCCCUUCAUGUCCUUCCCCCUCCCCUUUCCCUCGUAAACAACAGAUGCAGUAACUUGGAAUGUCCGCGGAAAGUCUUUGAAAGCCGGUUGGUGUAACUUGGUUGCCAUCUCUUUAGUCUGAGCAGCAGUUACUCCAGAAGAGGCCAGAGGCCUUUUUUCCCUUAGAUGUAAUUUACUGAAGUAGCCUCUAAAA